This 159-nucleotide non-coding RNA is filed under the name Roseibium sp. TrichSKD4. RNAcentral describes it as "FMN riboswitch aptamer (RFN element)". It matches the Rfam family "FMN riboswitch aptamer (RFN element)". Rfam says of the family: The RFN element is a highly conserved domain that is found frequently in the 5'-untranslated regions of prokaryotic mRNAs that encode for flavin mononucleotide (FMN) biosynthesis and transport proteins. The record is from Rfam by way of RNAcentral. RNAcentral also lists the same sequence under 1 other name. Lineage: Bacteria; Pseudomonadati; Pseudomonadota; Alphaproteobacteria; Hyphomicrobiales; Stappiaceae.
AACAGUUCUCGGGGCGGGGUGAAAUUCCCCACCGGCGGUGACAGGUCACUGGUUUAGGCCAACCUGAAGCCCGCGAGCGCCUUGGUUUUGGACCAAGGGACAGCAGAUCCGGUGCAAUUCCGGAGCCGACGGUUACAGUCCGGAUGAGAGAGAACGAUG